RNAcentral lists this ribosomal RNA (253 nucleotides) under uncultured bacterium. Its description in RNAcentral is "partial 16S ribosomal RNA". It matches the Rfam family "Bacterial small subunit ribosomal RNA", at positions 524 to 776 of the family's 1533-position model. The record is from RNAcentral.
UACGUAGGGACCGAGCGUUGUCCGGAAUCAUUGGGCGUAAAGAGCGUGUAGGCGGCUUGUUAAGUCUUGCGUGAAAUCUCGGGGCUCAACCCCGAGCGGUCGUGAGAAACUGGCAGGCUAGAGUGCGGGAGAGGAGAGUGGAAUUCCUGGUGUAGCGGUGAAAUGCGCAGAUAUCAGGAGGAACACCGGUGGCGAAGGCGGGUCUCUGGGCAUCUCCUGACGCUGAGGCGCGAAAGCGUGGGGAGCAAACGGG